GACGAACGCUGGCGGCGUGCCUAAUACAUGCAAGUAGAACGCACAGUUUAUACCGUAGCUUGCUACACCAUAAACUGUGAGUUGCGAACGGGUGAGUAACGCGUAGGUAACCUGCCUGGUAGCGGGGGAUAACUAUUGGAAACGAUAUCUAAUACCGCAUAAUAUUGAUUAUUGCAUGAUAAUUGAUUGAAAGAUGCUAUUGCAUCACUACCAGAUGGACCUGCGUUGUAUUAGCUAGUAGGUGAGGUAACGGCUCACCUAGGCGACGAUACAUAGCCGACCUGAGAGGGUGAUCGGCCACACUGGGACUGAGACACGGCCCAGACUCCUACGGGAGGCAGCAGUAGGGAAUCUUCGGCAAUGGACGAAAGUCUGACCGAGCAACGCCGCGUGAGUGAAGAAGGUUUUCGGAUCGUAAAGCUCUGUUGUAAGAGAAGAACGGGUGUGAGAGUGGAAAGUUCACACUGUGACGGUAUCUUAACAGAAAGGGACGGCUAACUACGUG
This 505-nucleotide ribosomal RNA is filed under the name uncultured bacterium. RNAcentral describes it as "partial 16S ribosomal RNA". It matches the Rfam family "Bacterial small subunit ribosomal RNA", at positions 28 to 507 of the family's 1533-position model. The record is from RNAcentral.